GCUUAAGUAGCUCAGUGGUAGAGCGUUAGACUGAAAAUCUAAAGGUCGUUGGUUCAAUUCCAAUCUUGAGCA
Molecule: transfer RNA, 72 nt
Filed under: Paramecium caudatum
Lineage: Eukaryota; Ciliophora; Oligohymenophorea; Peniculida; Parameciidae
Also listed under: 4 other names
Description: transfer RNA-Phe
Rfam family: tRNA
About the family: Transfer RNA (tRNA) molecules are approximately 80 nucleotides in length. Their secondary structure includes four short double-helical elements and three loops (D, anti-codon, and T loops).
Source: RNAcentral